UGGCACACACACUUAUUUGGGAUAGCAAGCCAGUCUGACAAGCUUGGAAACAAAGCUAUUCUACUCAUUCACUUUUCUGCUCGUUACACUGCAGAGGAAAUUGAUGCAGCAAUAAACAGGUUGCCACCGUCUUUCCGAAGCAGAGUUUAUGCGUUGAAGGAAGGCUUCUAAAGAAACAUGAACUGACAAAUCAGCAAUGAAGUUUUCUAAAUUAGAUUCCAUUGGUAUUUUCACUGGAAAUCUUUUUGCUAUGUGUGCUCUGAUGAUACUAUAGCAAUUUUCUGAAGAUUUCUGGGAAAUCUUCUGCUUUCAGUUGUCUAUACUUGUUUCACUCACAUGAUAUUGGAAUGUUGGAAUAGUGAAAUGUGGAACAACCCAUAUUAACAAUAUUUACUUUAUUUCUUUUUGUUCAGAAUCAUUUACCUUAUUUCUGAACAUGAACAAUUAUAGUACACGAAUACCAUGUGAAUUUUGGCCAA
Setaria italica (foxtail millet) is the source of this 479-nucleotide long non-coding RNA. RefSeq lists it as uncharacterized. The transcript is spliced from 3 exons. Lineage: Eukaryota; Viridiplantae; Streptophyta; Magnoliopsida; Poales; Poaceae. The record is from RefSeq and is a predicted model, not a curated record.